Molecule: ribosomal RNA, 491 nt
Filed under: uncultured bacterium
Lineage: Bacteria
Description: partial 16S ribosomal RNA
Rfam family: Bacterial small subunit ribosomal RNA
Source: RNAcentral
AGUGAACGCUGGCGGUAGGCCUAACACAUGCAAGUCGAACGGCAGCACAGUAAGAGCUUGCUCUUACGGGUGGCGAGUGGCGGACGGGUGAGGAAUACAUCGGAAUCUACUUUUUCGUGGGGGAUAACGUAGGGAAACUUACGCUAAUACCGCAUACGACCUACGGGUGAAAGCAGGGGAUCUUCGGACCUUGCGCGAUUGAAUGAGCCGAUGUCGGAUUAGCUAGUUGGCGGGGUAAAGGCCCACCAAGGCGACGAUCCGUAGCUGGUCUGAGAGGAUGAUCAGCCAAACUGGAACUGAGACACGGUCCAGACUCCUACGGGAGGCAGCAGUGGGGAAUAUGGGACAAUGGGCGCAAGCCUGAUCCAGCCAUACCGCGUGGGUGAAGAAGGCCUGCGGGUUGUAAAGCCCUUUUGUUGGGAAAGAAAAGCAGCAGGUUAAUACCCCGCUGUUCUGACGGUACCCAAAGAAUAAGCACCGGCUAACUUCGU